UCGGGAAUUUUGGGCAAUGGGCGAAAGCCUGACCCAGCAACGCCGCGUGAGGGAUGAAGUAUUUCGGUAUGUAAACCUCGAAAGAAUGGGAAGAAUAAAUGACGGUACCAUUUAUAAGCUCCGGCUAACUACGUGCCAGCAGCCGCGGUAAUACGUAGGGAGCAAGCGUUGUUCGGAUUUACUGGGCGUAAAGGGCGCGUAGGCGGCGCGGUAAGUCACUUGUGAAAUCUCUGAGCUUAACUCAGAACGGCCAAGUGAUACUGCAGUGCUAGAGUGCAGAAAGGGCAAUCGGAAUUCUUGGUGUAGCGGUGAAAUGCGUAGAUAUCAAGAGGAACACCUGAGGCGAAGGCGGGUUGCUAGGCUGACACUGACGCUGAGGCGCGAAAGCCAGGGGAGCAAACG
Molecule: ribosomal RNA, 402 nt
Filed under: uncultured bacterium
Lineage: Bacteria
Description: bacterial SSU rRNA
Rfam family: Bacterial small subunit ribosomal RNA
Source: RNAcentral